CUCAGCUACGAUCAUUGUGAUCUUAAGUGGAAAAGUGGUCAGUGAAAAAUGUGAAAAUGGACUGAUGCUACUCAUAUUUCUUCCCUGAGCUAUGCCUUGCUACCUUGCACCCUAUGAGAAAAAUCAGCUCUCCUUAACUGCCGGACGGACAGCUAUCAGUUUACCAGCAUACUGUAUAUAUAUUUAUAAAGGUGUUGCUGUCUUCUUUCAGGCCCAGCUUGACACUCUGCAGCUGAACUAUCUCCACAGUGCCACUAUGGCACCCACUCCAGUACCUCUGAAGCUCAGGGAUGACACAGAGUCGAGAGCGAAUCCACGGGACCGCCGGGUCUCUUCCGUUGAGGCUUCGAAGCAUCCGCAAACAGAAAACCACACGAUACCGACCAUCCCUGAGCUCUCUGAGACCUUUGAGAAGAAGCUGCGCUUUCGAAGCAGAAAUGUCAUGUCCUUGAGCGAUGCUGACAAUGUGUGUCUCAUCUGCCACAAUGAAAUGCGAAAUGAUGGUGGUGCGGUCCGAGAGCUACACUGUUCGCAUCGCUUCCACAGAGAGGUAGGGUUCAGUUUCCGGAUGCUGGCACCUCAAAGCUGCAUGCUACAGUUUUCUGACUAUGCUGGAGGCAAGAAAAAACAAAACACAUCACAAUACUGCAUUCCUAAAAAAGGUGUUGCAUUGCAUGAGCAACUUUUAUGAAACCCAUUGCAUGGUAAACUGCAUUAUAUGGUAAACCAUGUUUUAUUGCAUGGAUGUAUGUGUUAGCAUUUUGCAUGCAUGCAGUUUUUUGGUCAGAUUUAAAACUGUGAUAUCUGCUUGGUGUACAUGGAAGGCAAGGAGGUCAGUGCAAGAAUGCAGCUGUAGUGGAAGCGUGGUGGCAGAAUGUGUGUGGGGGGGACUAGGAGACGACCAGGUCUGUGUGGAGCAGGACGAGUACUGCCUUCGCCGACAUCGACGCUCCGUCCGGUGGCAGUGCUGAUGUCAGCCAUGUCGGUAUGAAAUACACAGAUAGACACAAGCCCCCCCAGCCUGUGCCCCCUUCCCAUAUCCAGACAUCCAAUGCUCAUACCACAUCACACAGAAAAAGAGCUUGAAUGUUUAAUCUCUGUAUGCUCCUAAUCAAUGUAGAUCUCACUUUUAGAGGGAUUUAUCUCUGGUGACUGAUGUAUCAUUUUAUUGAACUUAAAAAUAUAAAAAAUUUUACAAUGUUAUUUAUGUAGAAUUUUUUUUUUCUUUUAAACUCAAAAUAGGGUAGUGUGAAAAAUUUUUUCCAUUUUAGGUCUUUAUUGAUCAAGAACAAUACAUCUUUUCCAAUGGGGUAUCUUUGUUCUGAGUGUUUCUGAUUAAGGGCACUUGGAUUAAAAUGAAACAAGAAUAGAGUAUGUUAUGUUUUCCCAUUUAAUAGUCUUUCUCUAAAGAGGAGCACUUAGUAUCUCCUGUGUGAAAGUGGAUUGCCAACAAGAUGUUAUUUCAACCUGUUGAUUGCUGCUCUGCAGAUCAGGAAUUGAGCUUGGGAUGAUUUUCUGUCAGUAUUUAUAUAGUUUGAAAGCAUGGAUUUCCUAAAAUAAUGGCAGCUAGUUCUAUAACUGACCAGCAUUUCCUAAAUUGACACAGGCCAUAAUCCUGGACUGUGGAGCAGAAAGGUGAAUUCCUGUCCCUUAGAAAGACUUUCAUGAAUCCACAUUGUGGAAUUAUCCUUUUGGGUGCCAACGAAGGUCAUAUUUAGAAUCAUAACAAAAAUAGCCAACACAUAUAGGUGGAGGUGUUUUGUUCACUGUCAUUGAAUUAGGAACCUUUUCACUUUUAUUGUGUCUACACUGUUGGUUUUUUUGCUCAUUGGAUUGGAUGCAUGUACUGCACAGUAACUGCCAUGGUGACACAGCUGGAAGAAGCUCCUCUCUUUGUUUCAGUGCAUUGAGCGAUGGCUGUGGAAGGAACAGUUAUGUCCCACCUGCAGCGUCCACGUAGCCAUGCCCGAGCCCCUGUACUGGUCCUCCACGCACCUCAAAGUACCCUGAUCAGAGGGUACCCUCAGCUUUCAGACUAGGACCUGAUUUCCUUCCACCUACCACGGCUGGACACCCACCAGAGACCCAUACUGGCAGUCAAAGGCUUCUUCCUUCUUUACACCAGAGCUUCGGAACACCUCUCCAGGCUCAUAAUAUGUGACGACGUCCUAAGUCCUCUGUGCACAUUAGAUUACAGCAUCUGAACAAAACUUCAGAACCAUGACCCGCAUGCAUAUUAUGUAAGGAGAUCAUGCCAAAUGCAAAUCCAAGUAACAGCACAAUUUUUACAACUUUCUUUAUUCAGCCAAUAUAGUGAGAUCUCACAACAGCAGGUAGUGAAAGCUCAUUUUUACCAGGUUUUAACAACUCUUUCCUAUUAUCCAUUUUGACUUUUAUACAACACACUUUUAAUGCCAAACUACAGGGAAAACUAAGAUAAAGGAUAUUUUUUUUAGCAAUGGUUCUGUAACCUGUGGUUAUUACAAGGUGUUUACUAAUGAUAUUUGAAAAUUAUACCUAAAAGGUAUAUCUGUACUGUAUCAAAUGUGGAUAAAUAGCAUUUUUACCUUUCAUUAAUUUAACUGAACACUGCAGUAUACAGCCUAUGCUUAUCUGACAGCACACUGUCUGUCAUACUCAAAUACAGUACUGGUGCUGUAAAAUUAGGACAACCAAUGCCAAUGUAGAGAUGCCUUUUGAUGACUUUAUAUAAACUUGGCAACUAAUUUCUUGUGAUCUAUAGUAAGAUCUGUAGUAUCUAUGUGAUGGUUUCCAUUACUGUUUCAAUGUCAUUUUCAUAAUUUUUAUUUGAAUAAAACUUGCAUCGUAACUAUUUUCCUUGUAACA
This 2847-nucleotide long non-coding RNA is filed under the name Scleropages formosus (Asian bonytongue). Its description in RNAcentral is "lncRNA (ENSSFOG00015030862.1)". The record is from RNAcentral. Lineage: Eukaryota; Metazoa; Chordata; Actinopteri; Osteoglossiformes; Osteoglossidae.